UAAAACACCCUUAUAGUAUCAGAAUUGGUACAAAAAUACCCCUCGUUUAACUUUUGGCCUCAAAAUACCCUUGGGGUUAACCUUUAGGGACCUAUUUUGCCCUUUUGACUAACAGACUACUUAGUAAAUAUAUUUAAUUAUUUCGUUUAUUACGUGGCAUGUUGUAAUUGGUUGGAAAUUUAAUUAAUUAAUGCCUAAUUUGUUUGACCCAAACCACCCUAUCCACCCGAC
RNAcentral lists this long non-coding RNA (231 nucleotides) under Solanum tuberosum (potato). RNAcentral describes it as "long non-coding RNA (STUB_LNC011295)". Lineage: Eukaryota; Viridiplantae; Streptophyta; Magnoliopsida; Solanales; Solanaceae. The record is from RNAcentral.